UUCAGGAUACACUUUAGAGGAGUAUAAGCU
RNAcentral lists this non-coding RNA (30 nucleotides) under Homo sapiens (human). The record is from RNAcentral. Lineage: Eukaryota; Metazoa; Chordata; Mammalia; Primates; Hominidae.